This 293-nucleotide ribosomal RNA is filed under the name uncultured bacterium. Its description in RNAcentral is "partial 16S ribosomal RNA". It matches the Rfam family "Archaeal small subunit ribosomal RNA", at positions 455 to 747 of the family's 1478-position model. The record is from RNAcentral.
GUGCCAGCAGCCGCGGUAAUACCGGCAGCCCGAGUGAUGGCCGAUCUUAUUGGGCCUAAAGCGUCCGUAGCUGGCUGCGCAAGUCCGUCGGGAAAUCCAGUAGCUCAACUACUGGGCGUCCGGCGGAAACUACAAGGCUUGGGACCGGAAGGCUCAGAGAGUACGUCCGGGGUAGGAGUGAAAUCCCAUAAUCCCGCACGGACCACCGAUGGCGAAAGCACUUCGAGAAAACGGAUCCGACAGUGAGGGACGAAAGCCAGGGUCUCCAACCGGAUUAGAAACCCGGGUAGUCC